This 71-nucleotide transfer RNA is filed under the name Candidatus Parcubacteria bacterium. RNAcentral's name for it is "tRNA-Pro". It matches the Rfam family "tRNA". Rfam says of the family: Transfer RNA (tRNA) molecules are approximately 80 nucleotides in length. Lineage: Bacteria; Candidatus Parcubacteria. The record is from RNAcentral.
CGGGGUGUCGUAUAGUGGUAGUAUGCGGGCUUCGGGAGUCUGCGGUCUGGGUUCGAUUCCCAGCACCCCGA